GAGGUAAAUGUAAUACACAAAAGCAAAAACAAAAAGCAGCCACCUCAGAGGCAUCAGAGAGCUAGCAAAGUAGAAGAGAUUUACCAGGCAAGAUGCAGGAGAACAGAAAUCCAGAGAGGUUACCCCAAUCCCAUCUCCUCUGGGAGUGUUUGCUGAUUUCAACAGAGGUGAUUGAGAGACUGAUCAAGACUUUUGACAGCCUCUCUGGGCCCAAGACACACAAAAAAACUGAUGUUCAGAGCCUUCCAAGGGGUUGGGAGGAGGGCCUCAGGUAAAUCUCACCAAACUGGGUUAAGACCUCAAAGAGCUGCCCUAGGAAUAAGGGAGAGAUGGAAGCAGAGCAGCCUCACAGGGAUUUCAGCUCAGCCCCUGAUGAUUUCAACCUCCUGAUUCUUCUAUUCAGCUCCAAGAUUGUUACAGCCAAGGCACCUGACAAAAACAAAUUAGAAACCUCUUUGGGCUGGGCAUAGUGGCUCAUGCCUGUAAUUCCAGCACUUUGGGAGGCUGAGGCAGGCAGAUCACCUGAGCUUAGGAGUUUAAAACCAGCGUGGGCAAUAUGGCGAAAAUCUGUCUCUACUAAAAAUACAAAAAUUAGCUUGGCAUGGGGGUGGGUGCCUGUAAUCUUAGCUACUUUGGGGGCUGAGGCAGAAGGAUCUCUUGAGCCUAGGAGGUCGAGGCUGCAGUGAGCAGAGAUUAUGCCACUGCACUCCAGCCUGGGUGACAAAGUGAGACCCUGUCUCAAAAAAAAAGAAAAAAAGAAAACUCUUUGGAGAAAGAUAACGUCUCAUAGACAUAAAAUUAUUUCUAUAUAUUUUUUCAAAUGUAAUAUCUGGCAUAUAAUAAGGCACACAAGAAUCAAGACAACAUAAAUGAUAACCAGCCAAAAUAAGGCAAUAAGGCAAUAGAGAUAAACAGAAUCUCCAGACACUGAAAUUGUCAGCUACAUUUUUACUAUGCUCAAAAGAGAUAAAAUAGACUGAGAAUUAUGGCAGAGAACUAGGAAGCCUGACUUUUUUUUUUUUUUUGAGACUGAGUCUUGCUCUGUUGCCCAGGCUGGAGUGCAGUGGCACGAUCUCAGCUUACUGCAAGCUCCGCCUCCCAGGUUCAUGCCAUUCUCCUGCCUCAGCCUCUCGAGUAGCUAGGACUACAGGCACCUGCCACCGUGCCCAGCUAAUUUUUUUUUAUAUAUUUUUAGUAGAGGUGGGGUUUCACCAUGUUAGCCAGGAUGGUCUCGAUCUCCUGACCUCAUGAUCUGCCCACCUCAGCCUCCCAAAGUGCUGGGAUUACAGGCGUGAGCCACCACGCCCAGCCGACUUUUUUUUUUUUAAUUGCAGACAGAGUCUUCCUCUGUCUCUCUGAGUGAAGUGGCGCCAUUUCAGUUCAUUACAACCUCUACUUCCUGGAUUCAAGCGAUUCUUAUGCCUCAGCCUCCCGAGUAGCUGGGACUACAGGCAUGCACCACCAUGUCCAGCUAAUUUUUUGUAUUUUUAGUAGAUACAGGGUUUCACCAUGUUGGCCAGGCUGGUCUUGAACUCCUGAGCUCAGGCAAUCGUCCCACCUCGGCCUAAGAAAGUUCUGGUGUUACAGGCUUGAGCCCCAUGCCUGGCCAUAUUUUUUAAACAUUGUAAUAGAAAUUCUAGAAUUGAAAAAUAUGAUAACCAAAAGCAGGAAUUCAGCAGAUUAAACAAAGCUGAAGAGAUAAUUAUAUACUGAAAGCUAGGUCAAAGGAAAAUAUCUACAGUGAAACCCAAGAAUAGAAAAUAUAGACGAGAAGGUAGGAGACAGAGAAUACUGAAAGUCUGCCAUGUGGAAUUGGAAUCCUGGAAGGAGGGGGAGAGGACAAGAUAGAGACAAUAUUGGAAGGGAUAAAUAGCUACAAUUUUUUUCAAAAAUGAUGAGAGACAUCAAGCCACAAAUUCAAGAAGACAAACCUCAAGCAGGAUAAAUGGAAGAAACCCACCCCUAGGUGCAUGAUAAUCAAACAGUUGAAAACCAAAGACAAAAAGAAAAUCUUUUUUUUCUUUUUUUUUUGAGACAGAGUCUUGCUCUGUUGCCCAGGCUGUAGUGCAGUGGCAUGAUCUCAGCUCACUGCAACCUCUGCCUCCCAGGUUCAAGCAAUUCUCUGCCUCAGCCUCCCGAGUAGCUGGGGAUUACAGGUGCCUGCCACCACGCCUGGCUAAUUUUUAUAUUUUUAGUAGAGAUGGGGUUUCACCAUUUUGGCCAGGCUGGUCUUGAACUCCUGACCUCAUGAUCCACCCACCUCAGCCUCCCAAAGUGCUGCAAUUACAGGCAUGAGCCACCGCCCCCAGCCAAAAAGAAAAUCUUGAAAGCAGCUAGUACACAGAUGUAUGCGUUUGUCAAAAUCCAUUGAAUAGUACACUUUAAGAUUUAUGUUGCAUUAUGCAUAAAUUUUAUCUCGAAAGAACUGUGAACAAAUACUGAGCUCUAUUUGCUGACAUGCAUAGUGAAGUAUUUUGGGGAAAGUGUCCAGAGAUCUGUAAUUUACUUUGAAAUUCCUCACAAGUAGGACGACUUGACUGAGGCAUGGGGGGAGGCAGUAAAGCAAGUAGACUCAACUGUUAGUGGUGAUCCGGUAGUGAGUCAGUGCCAGUACAUUGGAACUCUUUUAGCUUUUCAGGAGGAGCGGAGUAUUUUCUUUGACCACAGUGAACUUAAGCUAGGGACCAACAGCAAGGAUAAUGAGAAAAAUCUCCAUAUGUUUGAAAAAUAAGAAAAUAACUUCUAAAAACAACCCAUAUGUCAAAGAAGAAAUACUGAUGGAAUAAUGGAAUUUUGAAUUGAAUGAUAAUACUGAGCUAUUUAAAUUUGCAGGGGGCAGUUAAAGUCAUGGAUAGAGGGAAAUUUUGUAAUUUUAUUUUAUUUUUAAAUUUUAUUUGUUUAUUUAAUUUUUUGAGACAGAGUUUUGCUCUUGUUGCCCAGGCAGGAGUGCAAUGCCACGAUCUUGGCUCACCGCAACCUCCUCCUCCUGGGUUCAACUGAUUCUCCUGCCUCAGCCUCCUUAGUAGCUGGGAUUACAGGCAUGCACCACCACGCCUGGCUAAUUUUGUAUUUUUAGUAGAGACAGGUUUUCUCCAUGUUGAUCACGCUGGUCUCGAACUUCUGACCUCAGGUGAUCCGCCCGCCUCGGCCUCCCAAAGUGCUGGGAUUACAGGUGUGAGCCACCAUGCCUGGCCGUAUUUAUUUAUUUUUUGAAAUGAAGUCUCGUUUUUGUUGCCCAGGCUGGAGUGCAAUGGCGCACGGUCUUGGCUCACUGCAAACUCUGCCUCCUGAGUUCAAGCGAGUCUCCUGCCUCACCCUACCAAGUAGCUGGGAUUACAGGCGCCUGCCACUAUGUCCAGCUAAUUUUUUUUUUUAUUAGAGACGGGGUUUCACCAUGUUGGCCAGGCUGGUCUUGAACUCCUGACAUCAGGUGAUCCACCUGCCUCAGCCUCCCAAAGUGCUGGGAUUACAGAUGUGAGGCACUGCGCCUGGCCAAUUUUGUAAUUUUAAAUGCAUGUUAGAGAAGAAAAUAGGCUGAAAAAGUAAUGAUUUAAGCAUCCAUCUUAAGAAACUAGUGGCUGGGUGUGGUGGCUCAUGCCUAUAAUCCUAGCAUUUUGGGAGGCCGAGGCGGGCGGAUCACCUGAGGUUGGGAGCUCGAGACCAGCCUGGCCAACAUGGAGAAACCCUGUCUCUACUAAAACUACAAAAUGAGCCGGGCGUGGUGGCACAUACCUGUAAUUCCAGCUACUCGGGAGGCUGAGGCAGGAGAAUCACUUGAACCUGGGAGGUGGAGGUUGCAGUGAGCCAAGAUCAUGCCAUUGCACUCCAGCCUGGGCAACAAGAGCGAAACUCCGUCUCAAAAAAAAAAAAAUUAGCCAGGCCCAUGGCAGGUGCCUAUAAUCCCACCUACUCGGGAGGUUGAGGCAGGAGAAUCACUUGAUCCUAGGGGGCAGAGGUUGCAGUGAGCUGAGGUUGUGCCACUUCACUCCAGUCUGUGCGAAAGAGUGAAACUCAAUCUCAAAAAAAAAAAGAAAUUAAUAAAAGAAUAGCAAGUUAAACCCAAAGAAAGCAGAAUAAAAUGAGAAACAGCAGACAUUAAUUCAUUAAACAGAAAGCACACUUAGAAGAGAUGAAAGAGGCAAAAGUUGGUUUUUAAAACUGAAAACCCCAAGUUAAGAUGAUGAAAAAGAAAACAGGCUAAGCAGGGUUGCUCACGCCUAUAAUCCCAACACUUUGGGAGGCUGAGGCGGUAGGAUCGCUUGAGCCCAGGAGUUCGAGACUAACCUGGGCAACAUGGUGAGACCCUGUCUCUACAAAAAAUAGAAAAAUUGGCCAGGCACAGUGGCUCACACCUGUAGUCCCAGCUACUCCGGAGGCUGAGGUAGGAGGAUUGCUUGAGCCUAGGAGUUUGGGAGUGUAGUGAGCUAUGAUCAUGCUACUGCACUCCAGCCUGGGUGCCAGUGCUAGGCCCUAUCUCUAAAAAAGAAGAAGAAGAAACAGAAGACAGAAAUGGCAGGAAUGAAAAAGGAACAUGUUACAGAUCUUGCAGACAGUAAAAAGAUAAGAUAUAAAGAACAGCCAUUUGCUAUACAUUUGGCAAGGUAGAUGAAAUGGUCAAAUUUCUAGAAAAAGAUAACUACCAAAACUGCAAAAAAGGAAUAAGAAUCUGAGCAGUCCUAUAUCUAUUAAAUUGAAUCUAUAAUUAAAAAUGUUCUCACAGAAAGUUCCAAGUCCAAGUGUCUUCUUCACUGAGUUCCACCAGGCAUUUAAAGAGUGACACCUUCCAUGGCAGAAGUGUAAGAAAAAAAAGAAGAGGAAGUAACAGCAGACUUACACAAACUCCUAGAAUUGAAAAGAUUAAACAUUCCCCAACUUUCUUUAGGUCAGCAUAGUUUUGAUUCUAAAGCCUGCUGAGGACAUUAAAAAGAAGCAGCUCCUUCAUGAACAGAGUUGCAAAACUCCCAAACAAAAUAUUCGGAAACUGAAUUCAAAACUCGCAAAUGAAAUAUUCAGAAACUAGCAAGAUAAAAAAAAGGAUAAUAUAAUACAUCAUGAGAAGUAGGGUUUAUUCCAAAAAUACAAAUGUUUUAUGACAUCUAUAGUUGGCCAGGCACAGUGGCUCAUAUGGAGGCCAAGGUGGGAAGAUUGCUUGAGGCCAGGAGUUUGAGACCAACCUGGGCAACGUAGCAAAACCCUGUCUCUAAAUAAUUCACCACAUUAAAAAGAAGAAAAGUCAGAGUCAGGCCAGGCACCAUGGCUCACACCUGUAAUCCCAGCACUUUGGGAGGCCGAGGCAGGCAGAUCAUUUGAGGUCAGGAAUUUGAGACCAGCCUGGCCAACAUGGUGAAACUCUGUCUCUACUAAAAAUACAAAAAUUAGCCGGGUUUGGUGGGGCACGCCUGUGAUCCCAGCUACUUGGAAAGCUGAGGCAGGAGAAUCGCUUCAACCUGGGAGGCAGAGAUUCCAGUGAGCCAAGAUUGCACCACUGCACUCCAGCCUGGAUGACAGAGCAAGACUCCAUCUCAAAAAAAAGAAAAA
Molecule: long non-coding RNA, 5538 nt
Organism: Symphalangus syndactylus (siamang)
Lineage: Eukaryota; Metazoa; Chordata; Mammalia; Primates; Hylobatidae
Source: RefSeq, a predicted model, not a curated record